This 465-nucleotide ribosomal RNA is filed under the name uncultured bacterium. RNAcentral's name for it is "partial 16S ribosomal RNA". It matches the Rfam family "Bacterial small subunit ribosomal RNA", at positions 28 to 507 of the family's 1533-position model. The record is from RNAcentral.
GACGAACGCUGGCGGCGUGCUUAACACAUGCAAGUCGAACGGAAAGGCCCUGCUUGCAGGGUACUCGAGUGGCGAACGGGUGAGUAACACGUGGGUGAUCUGCCCUGCACUUCGGGAUAAGCCUGGGAAACUGGGUCUAAUACCGGAUAGGAGCCAUAUUUAGUGUGAUGGUUGGAAAGUUUUUUCGGUGUUGGAUGAGCUCGCGGCCUAUCAGCUUGUUGGUGGGGUAAUGGCCUACCAAGGCGGCGGCGGGUAGCCGGCCUGUGAGGGUGGACGGCCACAUUGGGACUGAGAGACGGCCCAGACUCCUACGGGAGGCAGCAGUGGGGAAUAUUGCACAAUGGGCGCCAGCCUGAUGCAGCGAGGCUGCGGGGGGGAAGACGGCCUUCGGGUUGUAAACUCAUUUCGCUAGGGACGAAGCUUUUUGUGACGGUACCUAGAUAAGAAGCACCGGCUAACUACGUG